UGCCAGAUCCGCCACAAAUACAGGGAAUCCACUGUUCACACGGAUAGAGUCUCCCCUGUAUUUGCACGGCGUCGAUCAAAUACACAGUACAACCAGGAUACAACCACAACCAGAUGAAUAUAAAGAUAACUAUACAUUCAUACAUUCACCAUUCACAUCACAGUUUUACAUUCAAGGUUUAAACAGAAAUCCACAAAAAUCUUUUGAAAGCUGUUUCCUACACAGAAACCUUUAUUCUUUUAAAAACGCUACCACGAGGGGUAGAAAACCUUUUAUUUUACAAAAUCCAGAAAUCCACAUUUUCAAAUGUAAAUAAAUACUGAACCACAUAAACCAACUAAACUAUAUAUCAACAGAAAUACCAAGGAUAAGAACUAAAUCGAAAUAACCUGGGUCGGAAGCUCUAUCGACCGCUACACACGUACCUCACGUCUCGUCCCACUACUCAUCGCUCGCGAUACCUGAAAAAUGGUGGGGGAGGUGAGAACAUGUAAACAUGUCUCCCCUCCCAGUGGGUACCGCAAGCCGAAGAAGGCGAGGAGUACUCACUGGAUCAGGAAGAGCUAAACAACAGUACGGGUCAGUAGAAAAUACAGUAGCAAUAAUAAUGA
RNAcentral lists this long non-coding RNA (611 nucleotides) under Ananas comosus (pineapple). Its description in RNAcentral is "long non-coding RNA (ACOM_LNC037362)". The record is from RNAcentral. Lineage: Eukaryota; Viridiplantae; Streptophyta; Magnoliopsida; Poales; Bromeliaceae.